This 1119-nucleotide long non-coding RNA is filed under the name Oryctolagus cuniculus (rabbit). RNAcentral's name for it is "lncRNA (ENSOCUG00000032628.1)". The record is from RNAcentral. Lineage: Eukaryota; Metazoa; Chordata; Mammalia; Lagomorpha; Leporidae.
AUGCUUGGCGCGGCGCGGGCGACGCCCCGGGCCUGGGUCCUCGCCCUGCCCGGCCUGGCCGCUGGGCCUCGGCCUCCGCGGGUGGAAAUGCGCCGGGGUGGGGGGCUCCGGGUGAGAGGGGACGGCCGCGGCCUCCGCCCUUCUCCCCUGCUCUCCCACACACCGCGUCCGCUUCCCGCCUCGGCCCUGCCACCCCGGGACCCGCACAGCCCUGGGGUCGUUAUCCGUGGCGACCAGGAGGUUAGGAGGCAAAUGAUGGCGCGGGGCGCGGCCUCCGCAAUGAGACCCACACGUGCCGCGUCCGCGCUGUCCCGGGCACCAGCGCUCUGCUUCCCGCCUCGGCCCUGCCUCCCCAGGACCGGCACAGCCCUGGGGGACGCACAGCCCUGGGGUCCUCAUCCGAGGAGACCACAAGGCUCGGAGGCAAAUGAAGGCGCGGGGCGCGGCCUCCGCAACGAGUCCAGCACACGCUGGGUCCGCGCUGUCCCGGGCACGAGCGCCUCGCUGGGCUUUUCCUCGCCAGGGCCGAGUGCGGUCCAGGUGCGGGGGCCAGGUGCGGACCGGGCACUGCCUCCUGGGCACCCCCGGCCGGCUCUGGAGCUCGCGUGGGAGCUCCCAGACCUGAGGGAGGAAGCGCCCGUCCUGGGGGAGAUGCGACGCGGGGUGGGCACUGGAGGAGGGGGGCGCCAUCCGGCUCCCAGCACCCCCCAGCCCCGUGGCAGCCCCGCUGCCCAAAGCAGAGACAGCCAAGGCCGCUGCAGAGCCCCCAGGGUCCCCCGAGGUCCUGCCCUGCAGGCAGGGCACACCCUUGGCGCCCCAUGCAUACACUGCCGCCCCAGCGCCCGCAGCCCGGGGUCCUGGCCCCUCCUCCCUGCACGGAGUGCGCCCCCUACCCUGGCCCUGGGCCUCGGCCUCCAGGAAAGGGCCGUGGGAGGUGGUGGGAGGGGUCCGGCGGCUCCACGGGCCCUGCACGCCCGGCCAGGCACAGGAGCUGGCAAGCGGGCAGCUGGGCUGGGAGCAGCCGCUCCUCCCGGGGGGCGGGGGCGGGGGCGAGGGGCUGCUCCCCAUCAGAGCCAAGGGCGCUGCUGCAGCCUGGUGCCAUGGGUGGCCACUCGCUGA